AUUAAGGGGUGUCCGAUAAGUGUCGGGCUGAGAUUAAACCCUCUAACCUGAUCCGGGUAAUGCCGGCGUAGGGAUAAAA
Molecule: non-coding RNA, 79 nt
Filed under: uncultured Prevotella sp.
Lineage: Bacteria; Pseudomonadati; Bacteroidota; Bacteroidia; Bacteroidales; Prevotellaceae
Description: TPP riboswitch (THI element)
Rfam family: TPP riboswitch aptamer (THI element)
About the family: Vitamin B(1) in its active form thiamin pyrophosphate (TPP) is an essential coenzyme that is synthesised by coupling of pyrimidine and thiazole moieties in bacteria.
Source: RNAcentral